This 305-nucleotide ribosomal RNA is filed under the name uncultured bacterium. Its description in RNAcentral is "bacterial SSU rRNA". It matches the Rfam family "Bacterial small subunit ribosomal RNA", at positions 338 to 658 of the family's 1533-position model. The record is from RNAcentral.
CCUACGGGGGGCAGCAGUAGGGAAUAUUGCUCAAUGGGGGAAACCCUGAAGCAGCAACGCCGCGUGGAGGAUGAAGGUUUUCGGAUUGUAAACUUCUUUUAAGGGGGAAGAGCAGAAGACGGUACCCCUUGAAUAAGCCACGGCUAACUACGUGCCAGCAGCCGCGGUAAUACGUAGGUGGCAAGCGUUGUCCGGAUUUACUGGGUGUAAAGGGCGUGCAGCCGGAGAGACAAGUCAGAUGUGAAAUCCACGGGCUCAACCCGUGAACUGCAUUUGAAACUGUUUCCCUUGAGUGUCGGAGAGGG